AACUACAACGGAGACUUUUAGCCGAGUCCGAAGCUAUUUCUUUUUCUUUCUCCAGUUCCCCACACUCCAAACGACUUCCAUUUGUCUCUCUCCUUCUCUCUGCUUCUUCUUCUUCUUCUUCUUCUUCUUCUUCUUCGCCAUACACUAUCCCUCUUAAUCCUCCAUUUCUGAAUCUAUUUCAAUCUCUCUCUGAUUUCCUUAUUCAAGACUCUCUGAAGAUGAUCAACUCUUCUCUUUUGCUCUGCAAGAUAUAGAAAUGGCGUUCACCAGAAGACAGGAAUGACAAUGAGCAGCACAGGAUUAUAGAGUAAAUUAAAAUUAUUAAGCCAAUAUAAUAUAAAGAAGAAACUAUAAGCAAGUAAGUAGAGAAAUGCGAACGCUUUGCGACGUGUGCGAGAGCGCCGCCGCGAUCCUCUUCUGCGCAGCCGAUGAGGCCGCUCUUUGCCGCUCUUGUGAUGAGAAGGUCCAUUUAUGUAACAAGCUUGCUAGCCGACAUAUUCGUGUUGGGCUCGCUGACCCUAGUGAUGUGCCCCGUUGUGACAUAUGUGAAAAUGCACCUGCUUUCUUUUACUGUGAGAUAGAUGGUAGUUCUCUCUGUCUGCAAUGUGAUAUGAUUGUGCAUGUUGGUGGUAAAAGAACCCAUGGGAGAUAUCUUCUAUUGAGGCAGAGGGUUGAGUUUCCAGGGGAUAAAUCUGGUCGUUUGGAUGAACUCGGACAGCAACCUCUUGAUCAAAAUGAAGUAAGGAGGGACCAAAAUCAGCCACCUAAACUCACAAUGAGAGACAAUAAGCAAAAUCACAGAGCAUCUCCCAUUCCAAUGAUGGAGAAUAACACCGAUGGUGAUGGCAAGAUUGACAACAAAUUGAUUGAUCUUAAUGCCAGGCCUCAGCGGAUACAUGGACAAAAUUCAAGUAAUCAGGAACAGGGUAUAGAUGUUGUGAGUGGUACUAAUCAUGAAUCUGCGAGUAUGGUUCCUGCUGGAUCCUUCAAAAGAGAGCCUGACAAGUAAGCAAGGUCUUCGCCCAUAAAUGGAGUGAUACUAGUAGGACUAUUGAACAAAAGUGGGCUGUCAGUAUAAUGUGCAGUUGCGAAGAAGUGGAGGAAAUAUUUAGUCACGUGUAGAUCCUCUCUAUUAAGUAUAUUUGACACAGACAUUUUUUACAGAAGCAGUGAUUGGCCAAAGAUGCCUUUGAAGUUGUGUAAUUAUUGAAUUUCAAUUCAACCAGCACCAUUGUUAAAUAUUAAUGAAGACACGAGCUGCCUUCAUCUACUUGCUCUCCUUGUUUCUGGUAUAUUUGGAUGCCUUGUGAAAUACAAGUUGAGUAGUUCAACCUGCUUUUUAGUCAUCAUCCCUUUGGCAAAGUUGUUUAGAUGGGGAGAAUUUCAGCCUGUUCCUGUAUAUCUAAAGUAAUAUAGUCUGUGUUUAAGAAAAUAAAACAACUGUUUGCAUUUGGUCCCAUUCACUGGCUGAACACACCCACUGCCUGCUGCUCAUUGCUUUAUAUUCAACAAACGUGGAGACACUUUUUUCCCCUUUUUUUUAAAAAAAAAAAAAAAAAAAUUU
Manihot esculenta (cassava) is the source of this 1564-nucleotide RNA transcript. It is a transcript of the gene named B-box zinc finger protein 19, with no coding region annotated. NCBI's taxonomy places the organism in Eukaryota, Viridiplantae, Streptophyta, Magnoliopsida, Malpighiales, Euphorbiaceae. The transcript is spliced from 7 exons. The record is from RefSeq and is a predicted model, not a curated record.